Molecule: ribosomal RNA, 523 nt
Filed under: Bifidobacterium breve
Lineage: Bacteria; Bacillati; Actinomycetota; Actinomycetes; Bifidobacteriales; Bifidobacteriaceae
Description: bacterial SSU rRNA
Source: RNAcentral
UAAUGCCGGAUGCUCCAUCACACUGCAUGGUGUGUUGGGAAAGCCUUUGCGGCAUGGGAUGGGGUCGCGUCCUAUCAGCUUGAUGGCGGGGUAACGGCCCACCAUGGCUUCGACGGGUAGCCGGCCUGAGAGGGCGACCGGCCACAUUGGGACUGAGAUACGGCCCAGACUCCUACGGGAGGCAGCAGUGGGGAAUAUUGCACAAUGGGCGCAAGCCUGAUGCAGCGACGCCGCGUGAGGGAUGGAGGCCUUCGGGUUGUAAACCUCUUUUGUUAGGGAGCAAGGCAYUUUGUGUUGAGUGUACCUUUCGAAUAAGCACCGGCUAACUACGUGCCAGCAGCCGCGGUAAUACGUAGGGUGCAAGCGUUAUCCGGAAUUAUUGGGCGUAAAGGGCUCGUAGGCGGUUCGUCGCGUCCGGUGUGAAAGUCCAUCGCUUAACGGUGGAUCCGCGCCGGGUACGGGCGGGCUUGAGUGCGGUAGGGGAGACUGGAAUUCCCGGUGUAACGGUGGAAUGUGUAGAUAU